Long non-coding RNA from Suricata suricatta (meerkat), 101 nucleotides. RefSeq lists it as uncharacterized. The record is from RefSeq and is a predicted model, not a curated record. The transcript has 3 exons. Lineage: Eukaryota; Metazoa; Chordata; Mammalia; Carnivora; Herpestidae.
CAGGACACAGCCCCCAUCAUAUAUGGAUACCACAUCACCAAAUCUCAUGUCUCCUUAAAGUUAGGAAAAAUGGGAAGUAUGUCAUAUGGCUCACCCUGCAU